GAUGAACGCUGGCGGCGUGCCUAAUACAUGCAAGUCGAGCGAACGGACGAGAAGCUUGCUUUUCUGAUGUUAGCGGCGGACGGGUGAGUAACACGUGGAUAACCUACCUAUAAGACUGGGAUAACUUCGGGAAACCGGAGCUAAUACCGGAUAAUAUUUUGAACCGCAUGGUUCAAAAGUGAAAGACGGUCUUGCUGUCACUUAUAGAUGGAUCCGCGCUGCAUUAGCUAGUUGGUAAGGUAACGGCUUACCAAGGCAACGAUGCAUAGCCGACCUGAGAGGGUGAUCGGCCACACUGGAACUGAGACACGGUCCAGACUACUACGGGAGGCAGCAGUAGGGAAUCUUCCGCAAUGGGCGAAAGCCUGACGGAGCAACGCCGCGUGAGUGAUGAAGGUCUUCGGAUCGUAAAACUCUGUUAUUAGGGAAGAACAUAUGUGUAAGUAACUGUGCACAUCUUGACGGUACCUAAUAAGAAAGCCACGGCUAACUACGUG
This 497-nucleotide ribosomal RNA is filed under the name uncultured bacterium. Its description in RNAcentral is "partial 16S ribosomal RNA". It matches the Rfam family "Bacterial small subunit ribosomal RNA", at positions 28 to 507 of the family's 1533-position model. The record is from RNAcentral.